RNAcentral lists this ribosomal RNA (301 nucleotides) under uncultured bacterium. RNAcentral's name for it is "partial 16S ribosomal RNA". It matches the Rfam family "Bacterial small subunit ribosomal RNA", at positions 509 to 807 of the family's 1533-position model. The record is from RNAcentral.
CAGUAGCCGCGGGAAUACGGAGGGUGCAAGCGUUAAUCGGAAUUACUGGGCGUAAAGCGUGCGUAGGCGGCUUCUUAAGUCGGAUGUGAAAUCCCUGAGCUUAACUUAGGAAUUGCAUUCGAUACUGGGAAGCUAGAGUAUGGGAGAGGAUGGUAGAAUUCCAGGUGUAGCGGUGAAAUGCGUAGAGAUCUGGAGGAAUACCGAUGGCGAAGGCAGCCAUCUGGCCUAAUACUGACGCUGAGGUACGAAAGCAUGGGGAGCAAACAGGAUUAGAUACCCCCGUAGUCCCUGUCUCUUAUAC